Molecule: transfer RNA, 74 nt
Filed under: Gammaproteobacteria bacterium
Lineage: Bacteria; Pseudomonadati; Pseudomonadota; Gammaproteobacteria
Description: tRNA-Gln
Rfam family: tRNA
About the family: Transfer RNA (tRNA) molecules are approximately 80 nucleotides in length.
Source: RNAcentral
UGGCGGAUCGUCUAAUGGUAGGACAGUGGUCUCUGACACCACUAAUCUAGGUUCGAAUCCUAGUCCGCCAGCCA